AUACGUAGGGGGCAAGCGUUAUCCGGAUUUACUGGGUGUAAAGGGAGCGUAGACGGAAGGCCAAGUCUGAUGUGAAAGCCCGCGGCUCAACUGCGGGACUGCAUUGGAAACUGGUCAUCUGGAGUGCAGGAGGGGUAAGCGGAAUUCCUAGUGUAGCGGUGAAAUGCGUAGAUAUUAGGAGGAACACCGGUGGCGAAGGCGGCUUACUGGACCGUAACUGACGUUGAGGCUCGAAGGCGUGGGGAGCAAACAGGAUUAGAUACCCUGGUAGUCCACGCGGUAAACGAUGAUCACUAGGUGUCCGUGGGUAUGACCCAUGGGUGCCGCAGCCAACGCAAUAAGUGAUCCACCUGGGGAGUACGUUCGCAAGAAUGAAACUCAAAGGAAUUGACGGGG
RNAcentral lists this ribosomal RNA (396 nucleotides) under uncultured bacterium. RNAcentral describes it as "partial 16S ribosomal RNA". It matches the Rfam family "Bacterial small subunit ribosomal RNA", at positions 523 to 918 of the family's 1533-position model. The record is from RNAcentral.